This 598-nucleotide long non-coding RNA is filed under the name Ananas comosus (pineapple). RNAcentral's name for it is "long non-coding RNA (ACOM_LNC000297)". Lineage: Eukaryota; Viridiplantae; Streptophyta; Magnoliopsida; Poales; Bromeliaceae. The record is from RNAcentral.
UUGAUAAGAGAAAUAUUAGGACUUUGUUUAGAAUUACAAAAAUACUACGUUUUAUGUGAUAAGAUAAUAUGAUGAAACAAUAUUUUGUUUGUUUUUGUAUAUAAAUUUAUAUUACAGGUAAAUCGUAAUGAGACGGCUAUAAUAUAUUUUUUGUAGUCUCACUUGAAAACAAAAAUAUAUUUUUCUAUAUACUUUCAUCCAACUCUCUUUUGAGUAAUAAUAUAUAUUAUAUGACUUUCAAUACGGAGUAGGCCUUCAAAAUUUAUAGUCCAAAAAGCGUUUGUAAUCAACCCUAUGAUCGCCAUCGUAGGAAUUAUUAUUAUUAUUAUUUUUUUUUUGAAAGAUAGGUAGCACGCUAUCCGUUUCGUUUAUUUCAUUUAGAAAUAAACUUAGCUGAAAAUGUGAAUCAACUAGGAUUCGAACUUGGGUCUCGGAUACCAACCACUGAGCUUGCUCUAGGGACGGUCGGUCAUUAAUGAGUCUAUUAUUUUCGGAUUUUAGUAUUAAAAAGACAGAGAGAAAGAGAGUAAGCUAUAAAGGUUGAUAAGAAUAGUGUAUGAAACUGGAAGGUUAGAUGAUCAAAUUGUAAUGUUACAAU